CCCGAAAAUGUGCCGUUUGUGCUCCGCUAGUAAAGUGAACAUGACCGGAGCAUCAUGCAGCAUCACCUGUAACGUUAACGUCACCGAGCACCGCUGGGAUCAUAUGACUGAUGAAGAAUGAAACGUGUGGGUUGUGAACGAAUAAUUCCUUCACAGCAGUGCUGCGUAUCAACCAGACAAUUGUGAAAAUGUUAUAUAAUAAAAUAACCAGCCUGGCAGCAGAUCAGAACAGCGUAUUACUUGUGCUUUUAUUCACAUAUAACAGCUGUAGCCCUCUUUUGUGUCAGAACUUUUCACUCAUAUUUCACUUUACUUUUCAUACAGGGCGUUUCUCAGCGACCUGGGACUUCAGGGGAAGGUCGCCCCUCAGCAAGCUGCAAAAAAGUGGGAAAAUUAAAAAAAAUACAAGGACCUAAAAACUCCAAAAACUGGAUCAGGAACUGAUAGUGGGGAGACAGUGGCGCCACCUGGCAGUUUUCUGAGGACAUGCAGGAGGUGCUGGGUGCCAGGCCUUCGAUCGACCCUCCUCUGUUGGUUUCAUCCUUUGUGGCUGCUGAGGAUCCUGUUCCAGGUCUUUUGGAAAUGGUUGAGCCCAGAAUGAUUGAGACCCCAGAGCCGAGCCCCUCUAUCGCCUCCACUUCAGGCAUCGCCUCUACCUCAGGGAGCUCCUCUUCCUCAGGGAGCUCCUCUACCUCAGGGGAGUAC
This is a long non-coding RNA of Salarias fasciatus (jewelled blenny), 705 nucleotides long. RefSeq lists it as uncharacterized. NCBI's taxonomy places the organism in Eukaryota, Metazoa, Chordata, Actinopteri, Blenniiformes, Blenniidae. The transcript is spliced from 3 exons. The record is from RefSeq and is a predicted model, not a curated record.